ACUCCAUCAAAGCCAAAGGCGCGAGGCUUAAGCUCUUGAGACUGUUUGUAAUUGUCAUUGUCAGUGGCAAAGUGAGAUUCUGAGAGUGAAGAGUGAUGAAAACCCUAGAGACCUCCAACUCCAUCAUCGCCAACUAUUCACCUUCUUCUUACUUCUCUUCUUCUUCUUCUUCUUCUUUAAAAGAGCGUCUUCUUUCUCGAGGACCUGAAUUCAUCUCUUAUCGGAGGCCAUGGAAAUUGGCUAAUUCUGGACUUCAGCAUUUCGUACCUUUGCGUCGUGGAGGCAUUGACUUCAUUUCUUGCUUCUCUUCAUAUCAGCAGGUCGCAGAUAUUAAUCAGAGUGAUGCUCUUGAGAAUCAAGAAACAGAUCAAUCAAAGACUGUCCGUGUCAAAUUCCAGCUACAGAAAGAGUGCACAUUCGGGGAGCAUUUCUUUGUAGUAGGUGAUGAUCCAAUUUUCGGUUCCUGGGACGUUACAAGUGCAAUACCUUUAAACUGGGCCGAUGGGCAUCAAUGGGCAGCAGAAGUGGAUAUUCCCGUAGGGAAAAUAAUCCAGUUCAAAUUCAUACUUCAAGGAAUAACUGGAAAUGUCGAAUGGCAACCCGGUCCUGAUCGAACAUUUCAACCCUGGGAAACAUCGAAUACAAUCAUCGUUUCUGAAGAUUGGGAUAGUGCUGAAUCGCGGAUACUUAGUGAAGAAGAAAAAAUUGUUAACCAGGAGGAGUAUUCUCCCAUUGCCCCAGAAAAUUUAAUGGUUGAGUACAACCUCACUUAUCCAAAUGAAGAACUGAUCCCCAUUACAAAUAAGGAUUCAAUAGCACAUAAAGAAUCGGUGGAAUCGAUUGAUGGCAGUAACAUCCCAGCUUUAGAAGAAAAUGGCUGUAAUAUCUCUGCUUCUGAAGAGAAUAUCAGUAACGUCUCUCUUCCAGGGGGUAAUGGUAGCAGCAUUUCCGAUUCAAAUGAGAUAACCAAGGAAAUUUUGGAGAACGAUGCACAAGAUGAUGGAGUUCAAGAAAGCUCUGUUGACGAUCAAGUUCCCAUUCUAGUUCCUGGUUUACCUCCCCAAGUCGAAGGUGAUGGUUCUGUCAGUGGGAUAAAUGAAUCUAACGAUCAUAAACUACCUGAGUCUCAGAACAUACAAAAGGAUCCUGAGGUUGUGGCUGGACAAGAGAUGGAGACAAAGUCAAGUUAUGAAGAAAUUAGACAAGAGGAUGACACAAAUACAACUGAGAAUCAAUCUGAUUUGCAGGAAAUCAACAACGAUAUUGUUCAAAAUGACAUAACAUGGGGUCAUAAAACCCUGAAGAAGUUCCUCUCCAGUUUAAGACUGCUUUAGCAUCACAACGUUAUUCUGACUUCCAAGAUUUCAAUUUUAGUUCUGUUCUAUGUUGUUCCCCAAGAAGAUUUCAACUUUCUGGGACCCAACUAGGUGUAUGGAAGCUGAUGUUGGGAGUUGUAAAUACGAUCUACUCACUACACUAUAGUAUAUUACUGGGAUGUAAAUACAAAGAUUACGAAAAUUGGUUCAUUGGCGAAUCUGGACUGCAAUGGUAUGAAAAGAUUAUUGGUAAUGGCAGAUUUCAAAUAUUUGUUUAGUUUCGUAUAAAGGAUACAUUCUCAAAUUUCAAGUACCCUUUCUUGCUAUACUCAUAUAUUGUUUUGUUUUCGAGACUAAAUUUAUUCCAUAAGUAACAUGAUUGUGAUUGAGUUAAUAA
This is an RNA transcript of Cucumis melo (muskmelon), 1713 nucleotides long. RefSeq lists it as uncharacterized. NCBI's taxonomy places the organism in Eukaryota, Viridiplantae, Streptophyta, Magnoliopsida, Cucurbitales, Cucurbitaceae. The transcript is spliced from 6 exons. The record is from RefSeq and is a predicted model, not a curated record.